GCCCGGGCUGCCGUGCUUACAAUGCAAGUCGAACGCUGAAGCCCCAGCUUGCUGGGGUGGAUGAGUGGCGAACGGGUGAGUAACACGUGAGUAACCUGCCCCUGACUUCGGGAUAAGCCCGGGAAACUGGGUCUAAUACCGGAUACGACCUGUCCUCGCAUGAGGGUGGGUGGAAAGUUUUUUCCGGUGGGGGAUGGGUCCGCGGCUAUCCAUUUGGUUGUGGAGGUAUGGCUCACCCAAAACGACAACGGGAAGCCGGCCGGAAAGGGCGACCGGCACCACUGGACCUGAAACCCGCCCCAAACUCCUACGGAGGGCACCAUGGGGAAAAAUGGCACAAGGGGGAAACCCCUGUGCAACGAACCCACCUGGCGGAAUGACGGCCUUCGGUUUGUAACCGGUUUUCCCAGGAAAAAAGCAAAAGUGAGGGUACCGGCAAAAAAUUACCGGUAAACUACUGGCAACAACCCCGGGUAAUACGUAGGGAACAAGGGUUGUCGGAAUUUAUGGGGGUAAAAGAGUUCGUAGGUGGUGGGUCCCUUCGGUGUGGAAAACGCACCCCUUAACUUUCCCCGUGUAUUGGUUCCGGCUGGCUAAAAUUGCAUUAGGGAGUUCGGGAUUCCUGGUGGACGGGGAAAUUGCCCAAUUUCCAGGAGGACCCCGUGGGCAAACCGGAACCCGGGCUUGAAACGGACUGGAGAAGCAAAGCCUGGGGAAGAACAGGAUUUCAAACCCUGAAUCCAAGGCCAAAUGUUUGGGCCUGUGGUUGGGGGGAACAUUCCCGUUUCCCCCCGCCCAAAGAAAUCCUUUAAUGUCCCCGGCUGGGGAGUAAGGGCUCAAGGUAAAAACCAAAGGAAAUUGAGGGGGGGGCCGGUAAAACGGGCAAACUAUGGGGAAUUAUUUCCGAUCCAG
Molecule: ribosomal RNA, 912 nt
Filed under: Bacillus sp. (in: firmicutes)
Lineage: Bacteria; Bacillati; Bacillota; Bacilli; Caryophanales; Bacillaceae
Description: Bacillus sp. (in: Bacteria) partial 16S ribosomal RNA
Rfam family: Bacterial small subunit ribosomal RNA
Source: RNAcentral